Non-coding RNA from Labrus bergylta (ballan wrasse), 1237 nucleotides. Lineage: Eukaryota; Metazoa; Chordata; Actinopteri; Labriformes; Labridae. The record is from RefSeq and is a predicted model, not a curated record.
AAGACUCGUUUAUACAGCUCGCUGCUUUUCUGUAAACACGGGGUCACACGACCACGAGCCCGUUUUACCGCCACACACUGAAGCGUUUAGCAGACUCCUUCCUGCUCGCUCCGAGGUCACGUUCCUGCGUGGCGUCGGGUCGAGAACACCACAGAAGAAUUCACAGUUAGCGAGCGAGCGGGAAGGGGAGGGGCGUGAUGACGUUUCCAUCUUGUGCUCGCUGCGGUCUGCGUUCAUUCUGAAGAGAGAUAGAACGACCUGUCCUGAGAAUCAGAGAGAGCAGAGAGAAUCACUCCCAUGAUUCCCCGCUGACGUCAUCUUUUGUUAUUGUUCUGAUAGAGAGCCCCCUGGUGGUGGAGUUUACGUACUGCACCUUUAAGAGAAUCUGACUUACUGUCAGCCUGUAAAAUCAGCUUUCAUCUAUCUCUUUCAGGACAUCGGGAAGUGUCUGAUGGCGUUGGAUCAGCUCAGUAUGGUUUAUGUGACGUCCAAACACGUGAAGCGACACAGCGAGCUCAUCUCCACUCUGAGAAAGCUGCGCUGCUACAGAGCCAACCAGGCCAUCAUGGACAAGGCGUCCAUGCUCUACAACCGCUUCAAGAACGCCUACCUGCUGGGGAGGGGAGGAGAUGGUGAGCGCCACCUUCCUGCGCUCCCUGCUGGAGGAGAAGGAGAGGGAGGAGGCUGAGCGGGCCGAGGGCUGCAGGGAGAGGAUGAUGAGGGAGGAGAGGGAGGAGAGGGGGGGGACCGACGGAGGAGGAGAAAACUGAAGCUCCAGUGGAAUCUUCCUGAAGUUUCUGGAGCAGUUUGGACUGAACCAACUCUAAUCUGAGGGGGUGUGGCCUUGAAACAAAGCCCCGCCUCCAUGAGAACAAUGAGAACUUCCACCAACACGUUUACCUCGUCCUGCCUGAACAGCGCCGGUUAUUUAUAAACUAAAGCCGAGUGAGCGCGUCGUCUCACCUGCGCAGGUGAAGUCUGAACGCCUGUUUGUCGUUGAAGUCACCACUUCACCACAUCAACAUUAUUUCUCACUUAUUGCAUUACCUUCGUUCACACGAGCAUUAAUCACCAACGCCACCUUUAUGACCAUUACCUGUCUUUUAUGCUAAGCUAUCUUUAGCUAACUCUGAUCCUGAAACUUUGCUUCCAAACUUUAUCGUCUUUACGACAUUUUUUAUAAAGGCCGAAAUCUAGAAACACAAAGAGCUGAAAGCUAACGGGAGCCUUUCAAUCC